Molecule: ribosomal RNA, 501 nt
Filed under: Aedes aegypti (yellow fever mosquito)
Lineage: Eukaryota; Metazoa; Arthropoda; Insecta; Diptera; Culicidae
Description: rRNA AAEL028921
Rfam family: Eukaryotic large subunit ribosomal RNA
Source: RNAcentral
CCGAAGUUUCCCUCAGGAUAGCUGGAGCACGCAACGUUUCGGAACCUAUUCUUAUCUGGUAAAGCGAAUAAUUAGAGGCCUUAGGUUCGAAAUGAUCUUAACCUAUUCUCAAACUAUAAAUGGGUACGUACCAUAGCAUUCUUGCAUGAUGCUGUUGCAACGUUGACGCCGGGUCGCCCCCUGCCAGGGUGUGCCAUCCACAAGCGGCGUAGAAGAUAUCUGUGUGCUUAGUGGGCCAAGUUUUGGUAAGCAGAACUGGUGCUGUGGGAUGAACCAAACGUAAUGUUACGGGCGCCUAAAUAAACGACGCAUCAUAGAUACCAUGAAUACCAUGAAACAACACCUUUCCAACACCAAUUGCUACAGACAGCAGGACGGUGGACAUGGAAGUUGUCAUCCGCUAAGGAGUGUGUAACAACUCACCUGCCGAAUCUCCAUUUCUUUUGAGAACUGAACUUUCUAUAAGAAUCUAUUUAACAUUGAGAGCCUCUCAUUGAUAAG